RNAcentral lists this ribosomal RNA (245 nucleotides) under uncultured bacterium. RNAcentral's name for it is "partial 16S ribosomal RNA". It matches the Rfam family "Bacterial small subunit ribosomal RNA", at positions 524 to 768 of the family's 1533-position model. The record is from RNAcentral.
UACGUAGGGUGCGAGCGUUAAUCGGAAUUACUGGGCGUAAAGCGUGCGCAGGCGGUUUUGUAAGCCAGAUGUGAAAUCCCCGGGCUUAACCUGGGAAUGGCAUUUGGGACUGCAAGGCUUGAGUUUGGCAGAGGAGACUGGAAUUCCUGGUGUAGCAGUGAAAUGCGUAGAUAUCAGGAGGAAUACCGAUGGCGAAGGCAGGUCUCUGGGCUAGAACUGACGCUCAUGCACGAAAGCGUGGGGAG